UACGUAGGUGGCAAGCGUUGUCCGGAUUUAUUGGGUUUAAAGGGUGCGUAGGCGGUUUUUUUAAGUCAGUGGUGAAAUACGGCAGCUCAACUGUCGAGGUGCCAUUGAUACUGGGAAACUUGAGUACUGAUGAGGUAGGCGGAAUGGACGGUGUAGCGGUGAAAAUGCUUAGAUAUCGUCCAGAACACCGAUAGCGAAAGGCAGCUUACUAAGGAGUAACUGACGCUGAGGCACGAAAAGUGUGGGGGAGUCAAAACAGG
RNAcentral lists this ribosomal RNA (260 nucleotides) under uncultured bacterium. RNAcentral describes it as "partial 16S ribosomal RNA". It matches the Rfam family "Bacterial small subunit ribosomal RNA", at positions 524 to 776 of the family's 1533-position model. The record is from RNAcentral.